RNAcentral lists this long non-coding RNA (35480 nucleotides) under Citrus sinensis (sweet orange). RNAcentral describes it as "long non-coding RNA (CSIN_LNC001575)". The record is from RNAcentral. Lineage: Eukaryota; Viridiplantae; Streptophyta; Magnoliopsida; Sapindales; Rutaceae.
UUAUGGGAGUACCAUCCACAGAGAAGCUGAAAAUUAAGUAAACAUUGAUAAGUCUAAGCAGAUUGAAUGACAAGGAAAGAAGAAAUGAUGGAGAUUGAAGGAAAAUAUUGCUUACACAAUGCGCUGAGGAUUCCAGAGGAUAGAAUAGGUGUGAAAGUCAGCAGUGGGGUCAAACCAGAGGUGAAAUUGUUGUUCUUUGUCACCUUUGCCAUUUGUGAAUACAUUGGUAUGCAGAGUGUAAGGGUCUGAGGAUUCCAGAGGAUAGAAUAGGUGCUGAGGAUUCCAGAGGAUAGAAUAGGUGUGAAAGUCAGCAGUGGGGUCAAACCAGAGGUGAAAUUGUUGUUCUUUGUCACCUUUGCCAUUUGUGAAUACAUUGGUAUGCAGAGUGUAAGGGUCACCACUUAAAUUCCCCAAGAACUCGAAGUCUAUCUCAUCCCAUGUUGAUCCUGGCGAUUUUAACUGCGUGAACAAAAAGUCAAAGGUCUAUAUGUCAGAUACAUGAUGAUCAAACAUGCAUAUUGUUUAUUCAUAUAAAGGGUGAUGAUCAAACAUGCAUAUUGUUUAUUCAUAUAAAGGCAGGAACUUACAUAAUAAGCAGUGACAGUGCCGGCAGAGUUGCCAGGGACUAGUUUGAGUUGCAUAUCAAUCUUGCCGAAUAGAUACUCAUUCUUGGACUGGAAGCCGGAGCCAGAGGCUUUAUCAAGGGAAAGAGUAAGAAGCUGGCCGUUGUUGAGUAUAUUAGCACGCCCGUCUCCCCAAGUGAUAUCAAAAUCUUGGUGGAAGUUACCAGCAGAGGUAACCAUCAAAGAGCCAAGAAGCAGCAGCGACAGAUGCAAUACUGAAGCCAUGGAAGCUUUCGUCUGAGCAACAACAAGAUAGAAGAAAUUGAGUUGGAGAGAAGUUUGAAAUUUUUUAAAGUGAAGCGAUGAGUGUGUUUAGGACCUUACCAGGGUUUGGUAUUUAUAGCUUGAUUGAGCUGGUGAAGGUGAGUAUAACGAAAGCAGAGGAAAGUAAUGGGAAGCUCCAGUUAGUUCAGCUUCAGCUGUGGCCAGUUGUUUGCGUAAAAUAGCGUGAUGAAAUAAAAACAGCUGUCCGAAUCGCACUAACAGAACACGCUACAACAGGGACUUUUUUUAAUUACAAUACGCGGCUUUGCAUAUUUUUGAGACUCAAGUACUUAUUCUGUACUGCUGUUAUGUUCCCAUCACCGGCUGACUCUUAUUAGCUUUUUUUUUUUCCAGCCACCACCAGUCAAAACACAAAAAAGAAAAUGUAGAAUUCACUGGGUACUCUUCUCUCUCGAGAUUUUCAUUUUUUUUUUUUUUGCAUUUUAUGCUCAAAAGAAAAAGAAAAAGAAAAAAUUGCUCAAUGACCUACUUAAUUAACAGAUUUUUUCGAUAACUAUAUUUAUUAUCAGGAAAUCAUUUAAUUCAAAAGCUUAAGACGUUAAACAGGAGUCCAGAAAAUAGCAUUAAAGUGUUAAAAGACCUGCCCAUGUGAAACAUGGAUCCAGUUUGAAGGUCAUGUCGUUCCAAAAGCGGAGAUAGGAGAUUAAAUUAGAGGUUCUUGAACAUACAAGAAUUGAAACAUAUACGUGUGUUAUUCGCAAAAAAUUGAGCACGCUGAGAUUUGAACAAGAAACCUUUGCUAUGUAAAAACGAAAUUGGCUUGACCCAAGAAAAUUAAAGACAAGUCUUUACUGGAGUCCCUAACACUAAUCAUGGAUCUAACAUCUAAGAAAUAUGUAUCCCAAGAUACCGAUACACAUGCUUCCUAGUAACAUGAAACUGUGAAUUUGUUUCCAAAUUUUAGGUUAAUUGAUAACACAUGCUUCCUGGUGGGUUCGUGUGUAAUAAAACACAUAUAGAACUUGAAGAUAUGCUUAUUAUUAUUAUUAUUAUUAAGGAAUUUAUAGAUAUUGGUAUUUAAAUCGAACGGACUGAAGAUUUUGCUGUGUACAAAAGCCCUGUUUCCUGUUUUGUAUAUUACCACUUAUACUAGAGAAUGUUUAAUUUGUUUAUCUGGAAAGGCGGUGGUGUCCUGGCGGGGUUGACUCGCCUUGAAAAAUCAACACUUGAGAGCUGGCUCGCAGCUUGUCCCCCUCUCAUUAUUAAUUAACACGUACAACAAUAACAGUAUGCAUCACUCUUCCUCAUCGACUUGUGCAAGUUCACUCAGUUAUUUUUUUAGUUUAUUUCUGCCAUUUUACCCUUUUACUGCCUUAUCUAAAUACUAAUCAAUGGCCAAAAUUUCUCCUCGAUUGACACAAAUACGGUAACGCUCACACGCAGUAUAUUUUCUUCUCAUUCUGGUGGAGACUCAUUUGCUCUUAUCUUCAUGCUUCCUCGAUAAUUCGUCAUAUUCCAAUCUAGGGUCUAAAAGCUUUAUUAAUGAGUCAUCAUGUCAAUACCUUUAAUUAGGCUUAUAACUAUAUGCUAAAGCUUACGAAGAAUAACAACAAAGAAGAACAAAAUCUUUUGAAAUAGUAAUAUUAUGUUUACUUAGUUAGCAUACUUAAUUUGUAUACCACGCAAGUACGCAUAACAUUAUCCUUUUUUAAAUUCAUUAACCAGUGUUACAUAUGGUAAAAAUUGGACUAAUAUGCCAUUUUAUUGAUUACAGAGAAACAAAGAAUCUGACUCCAGAAUCUACAUGAAUUGAAUAACCAUUGAAUGAUUACACGAAAGAAUAAAAUAAUUUUUAAGCGUCUUGUUGAUUAUUUUCUCUAGGAGGUUCUGCAUUCUGCAGGAAGGCCCUGAGGAAAUCUCUUUGUAUCAGCGCAGUAAUUGUAAAUCAUGUAAUUCUUCUGCACCCAUUUCAGCCUACUUUGAUUUGUUGAAUCUAGCUCUUGUGAGAACCAAGCACCGUUGCUGGAUGUAGAGGAAGCAGAAUUUGAAGCGCAAGAAGAUUUUCCAUUAGACCAAACACAAGCUUCAGCAUUAAAGUUUCUGUAGGAAGCAGUGAAAGGAGCAUGUGUCCAAUCUGUCUUCACGAGGCCACCUCUUGUGGCCCAGUCAUCAGCAUUCCAGAGAGAAGAGUAUAUUCUCAUUGGCUGAUUCUUUGGGAACGGAACGCCAAUUGACUCUGAGUUCUUAAAUUCUCUUAUGGGCGUGCCAUCAACAGAGAAGCUGAAAAUUAAGUAAACAUUGAUAAGUCUAAGCAGAUUGAAUGACAAGGAAAAAAAACUAAUGAUGGAGAUUGAAGGAAAAUAUUACUUACACAAUGCGCUGAGGAUUCCAGAGGAUAGAAUAGGUGUGAAAGUCAGCAGCGGGGUCAAACCAGAGGUGAAAUUGUUGCUCUCUGUCACCUUUGCCAUUUGUAAAGACAUUGGUAUGAAGAGUGUAAGGGUCACCACUUAAAUUUCCCAAGAAUUCAAAGUCUAUCUCAUCCCAUGUUGAUCCCGGUGAUUUUAGCUGCAUUAAAAAAAAAAAAAAACAGAUAUUUAUAUGUAUCAUCACAUAUGAUUAUUCAACUACGACCCAGUUUGCAUGCAUAAUACUUGCGUAUGAUUAAGUUGUAUUAAAAGAAGGAACUUACGUAAUAAGCAGUGACAGUGCCAGCAGAGUUGCCUGGGACAAGCUUGAGCUGCAUGUCAAUCUUGCCGUAUAGAUACUCAUUCUUGGACUGGAAUCCUGAGCCAGAAGCUUUAUCGAGGGAAAGAGUAAGAAGGUCGCCAUUGUUGAGCAUCUUGGCACGGCCAUCUCCCCAGGUGAUGUCAAAAUCUUUGUAGAAGUUACCAGCAGAUGCAACCAUCAAAGAGCCAAGCACAAGAAACAAAUGCAACGUUGAAGCCAUUGACAUAUGCUUGAGCAAACGAGGUACAAGUAGUGUUUGAAUUAACUGAGAGAAGUUUGUAAUUCGAAAGUGGAGCGAUGAAUGUGUUUAAGACCAUUGUGUUGUAUUUAUAGCCGGUGAAGAUGGGAAAUGUAAAAUGCAGAGGAAAGUGAAGGGAAAGGUCCAGUGAGCUCGGCUGUGGACAGUUGUUGGCUUGAAAAAAGUAUAAUAAAAUAGCUGUGCAUAUCGCACUAACAAGCAUUAUCCGACCAGCCAUAUUUUAUUAUAGCACGCGGUUUUUGCAUUAUUUUUGGGACCAAACGACUUCCGUUUAGUUUAGUAUGUGCCGCUGUCGUGGUCCCACUACCAGCUGACUCUUAUUAGAUUUUCCCACCGCCACUACUAAAGACAGUUGAAUUCACAUGAUGCGACCCUCUCUUCAGAUUUUCAGCUUUUUUUAUUAAUUGAUUCUCAAGGCAAGAGCAAAUGAAUAAUAUUAUAAUAAUACUAAGAAUAACAUAGAACUUAUUAAGAAAUUCCAGAAUUGAAAAUUCUCCUCACUAGCAAUUCAGUGUUCACCCAAGUGACAAUUAUGUUAUAUUUAUUCUGUUUGAAUUCUUAAUUUAGUAACUCCAAAAUUAAUCUUUUAUUGUCAUGUAUAUAAUAUUUAUUUUAUUAUUAAUUAUUUGUUAUCAACCUAAUUAAUAAAUGAUACAUAAAAUGUAAUAUUAAGGAGGAGACAAACUAAAUAUCCGAAUUGGGUUGGCAAUAACCGCAUGACAUUACUCAAAUUUUAUGUUACUGGCGUUGUCUAACACGCGAGACGGUGGUGGGUUUCGCUUGCCAUUCACUUGGACCUAACUGUAUGUAAAAUGAAUGUUUGUUUUGAAAAGGGAACUAGGCGGCGCCUUGUCUUCCCUUUCUUUAUAAACAAUUAACAAAUCAAGCAAAACCGCGUCUGGAAAACUUGGUCUGCGCCAUUUUAAUGAACAGUCAUUUGCUACAUUACUUUGCCAACUAUUACCAAAACGUACUGAAGUUUCCCGUGUAUCUUCUCUCCGUUCAACUCUGCCUAAACUUAUAGGAUAAAAACACCAACUAAGCACAACCUUUUCAUCAUUUCAGAUUCUUUUACAUUUCUAAUACUAUUCACAUGCAAAACAUUCCAGUGGCUUGCUUUCUAGUUUCUUCAUAUAUUCCGUCCAUGUUGAUGGUCAGUUUUGUGAUUUUCUCUCUAAUUGUAGCUUCUUCUGCUAACUUCUACCAAGAUUUUGAUAAUACUCGGGGAGAUAGACUUUGAAUUCUUGGGCAAUUUAAGUGGUGACCCUUACACUCUGCACACCAAUGUAUUCACAAAUGGCAAAGGUGACAGAGAGCAACAAUUUCACCUCUGGUUUGACCUUACUGCCGAUUUUCAUACCUAUUCCAUCCUCUGGAAUCCUCAGCGCAUUGUGUAAGUACUGUUUUUUUCCCUGUCGUUAAUUUGCUUAGACUUAUAACUUUUUUCAUUGUAAUUUCCAGCUUCUCUGUUGAUGGCACCCCCAUAAGAGAAUUCAAGAACUCAGAAUCAAUUGGAGUGCCAUUUCUAAAGAAUCAACCAAUGAGGAUGUACUCUUCUCUACGGAAUGCUGAUGACUAGGCUACAAGAGGUGGCCUUAUCAAGACACAAUGGACACAUGCUCCUUUCGCCGCUUCUUAUAGAAACUUCAAUGCUGAUGCAUGUGUCUCGUCUAAUGGAAUAUCUUCUUGUGCUUCAAGUUCACCUUCCUCUCCAUAUAUCCAACGGCUGCUCCUGGUUCUCACAAGAGCUUGAUUCAACAAGUUAAGAAAGGCUGAAAUGGGUACAAAAGACAUACAUGAUUUACAACUACUGCACCGACGCAAAGAGAUUUCCUCAAGGCCUUCCUUUGAAAAGAAAAAAUCUCCUAAAGAAGUGAUUAAAUCAAACAGAUAAAUCAGUGUAAACUUAUUACAUUCAAUUAUAUGCUCUCUGUAGAGCUAUUCUUUGCAGUCUUGGUCAUCAAUAAAAAGACAGAUUUGUCAUUCUUUAUAUCAGAAGUGUUAUAAUACGAAUUUUAUUGGAAAGAUGCAGAUGUGAUUUAUUAUAAAUUCAAUAUACUUAAUGUAAAAAGACUUAAAAGAUUGAGCUUUACUCAUCUAAAGUUCUCACAGACCAUAUCAACGUGAUCCCUUUCUAGCAUAUUCGCAUCUUAAUUCAUAUGAUAACUGAUACAACAUCAAUACUAUUAUUAUAACUUUAUUUUGAUAUUACAACAUAAAGUUUGAGCAUGAAAUAAACUACAUUAUUUACUUUAACUGUAGAAAUCAAAAUUAGAAUAAAUUGUAUUAUCAUUGAUGUGUUUAGUUUGUCUUGAAAUCUUAGUCAUAAUAAAUUAGACUGUCAUAAAUUACUAAAAAGUUUUUAAUUAAUUAUUAUCAUAAUUAUUAUUUUAUAUUUUAAUUAAUGUAAUUAUUGUUAUUCAGAAAUUAUUAUUAUUAAUUAUUGUUAAUAAUAAUAAUAAUAUCAUUAACAUGAAUAUAUUAAUUAUAAUAUUUUUUUAUCAAUAAUAAUGAUAAUAAUACAUUUGAAAAUCAUAAUAACAAUAAUAAUAAUCAAAAUCAUCAUCAUCAACGACAACAACAAAUCAAAAUCGGAUUUGGAUCAUAAUAUCAUCGUCGUUGUCGACAUCAUCAUCGGUGAUGGUUGUUGUUGCUAGAUCGUUGUUGCUAUUGCUCCUGCUCAACGGUCAGCGACGACCAAUGACGUUGAUUUUUGCAGUAACAGUUUGGUGAAGACGAUGAAAAUCGGUGAGGCUUCAAUUUACAGCGACUGUUUGCUGUGGUUUUUUUUUCUAUUUAAAUUUUUUUAAUUGAAUGAAGGUGUUGAUGCUGAAAUCUGCUCGCCUCUUGACCGACCAGAUUCUUUCACCAACGUUUGUGUUAUCUACUGUUGCUCGUUCACUGGGAUUGGAAUCGUCCUCCUUUCUCUCAAUAGACCUGCACUCACUAAAAAUGGAUCAGAGACGCCGGUGGUUUUGCCGGCGUAAACCCUCCGAUGCCUAAGUUAGCACAAGGUGUUUACGGGAAAACAGUGUAAUUUGGAUUCCAGGAGCUUAUUAAAAAUUUGUAAGGAAAUGGCCUAGUUGCAAUUUGGCAGCGUUUUCCCUCUCUCUUUUUUUUUUUCCCCUUUCUUCACCGAUUUCUUCUUCUUUUAUAGCCGCUGUCCCCACGUUUCCGUUUGCCAUUCAUCCCACCUUUUUCGGGUAGUGGCAGCCCCUCAUGGGAUUUUAACUGCUACAUUGUGGGCAAACGUGGGAUCUCGCAUCUCCCACAACGGUUCUGGGAAAAGCGCAACUACCGCGAUUCUGUGGGAUCGUGUUUCCGCUUUUUGAGGGACGGGUACCGACUCGGUAUACGACUCUGGUCGGUAUUCGUCUCUGAUCAGCUCAUGUUACCCCCUGUUCUGCUCGUACCAUUUGGCUGAGGUGAUUCAUGCCGGGGUGGAAAUAGUAGCAUGGCCGACCUGGUGCUUUUAUUUGCUUAACACCAGUCCCCCAGUUUUUGGUCUUGUGAGUGAAAUGAGUCAAGAGUAGAAACUGAUAGUCAAAUCUUACCAAUCCAGGGGCUUCUCCUCUGAUCUUUCGUCUACCGGGAUGGACCUGAGGUAUCAUUUUUCUUCAGGGGAGAUUUUGACCUGAGCAUGGGCCUAAAUGAGUAUGUCCAUUGCGUAUCUGGGCUUGCAUCUAGCCUGGCCUCUUAUAACGAUUGGUGACGUGGCAUCUCCCGACUCUUCGUAUUUGAAAUUUGAAACGACGGGCUAUCUGUCCUUGAUGUACGGUGAGUGAGCUGGCGUCUCUAUCACUUAAAUGCUUUCAUUUCCCCUUUUUCGUUUCAAAUCCCUAGACUUAUAUCUGCAUCGCUUUGUUAUUCAUCUCUUCAUCGUUAACUAACUCCCUCUCUGAACUUUGCUUACACUUCUCGUGUCUGGAGUAUCCACUCGCUGAAUUUUUUCUCUAUCACGGUCGCGCUAUCAGUGCCAGUUCAAUCCAGGUAUUGCCUUUAACUUCUCCUCUGGUUAUUGUUGAUUGGGUUCUGUGUUGCCCUUUUUGUGUCCAUAUACUCGAGUUUUCUUUGUUUUCUUUUGAGGUUCUGAUAUGUCAAACCGAAAAAGAAAGUUAAUUGUUGAUGAGGAUGAUGAAGAAUCAGGGGAUUCAGGCCUCAACGUGUCAAUACCCACCUAUUUCUUAGGUCCCUCCAGUAAUGUAGGUCCUUCCCAUGGCAGGGAUACCCUUGAGUACCCACGCCCCUUGGUUGUCUCUUCCUUUCCCGAACUAGAGCUUGUAGGGAAUAGAGGUGGACUUGCGUCGGGAUCUGGUGAGAACCACAGCUUUGGUGGGGUUGGGAUCCGUGAAGGAGUUGGCGAUGGUGAGGGGAGCAGUUCCGGACCGAGCGGUCUUGCUAAGAAAAGGAAUAUUGGCCAUAGGGUGGAGGCUGAUUUCUACCCUAUUGAUUACAUAGCCUGUGCCACCACCCAAACUGACUUAUUCAAGCUUAGGAACCUCUACGACAUUCCUGAGGAGGUUCUUCUUGUAGUUCCUGGGAAGGGUGACGUUCCUAGUCGGCCUCCACGGGGGUAUGUGACAAUGCACCUAGAGAGUUUCAAACUAGGAGCUCGGCUGCCCCUUCAGCGUUAUUUUUCCAAAAUAUUGGGGGGUAUGCACCUGGCCCCAGAUCAGCUACACCCGAACGGGUGGAGGGUUCUCUCGGCAAUGUUUGUGUUGUGGUAGAGGUGCGGGUCGGAGGAGCCUUCCCUUGUUGAAGUGAAACAUCUGUAUCAGCUGCGGAGCAGCCCAAGGGAGGCGGGCUGGUAUUACUUCAUGUCCAGUUCCGCAAAGAGAAAGCCAAUCACUGGUUUCCCCUCCUCGUGCAAAAAUUGGAAGAACAAAUUCUUCUUUGCUGGGGGAAAGUGGUGUUCAGCACUCCGUUCGUUGGGUGGUGAUAUUUACCUUCCAACGCAGUUUGUCACCCCAGGUCGUUCAUUUUUUGCCUAUAUUCCUUCUCAAACUGUCACUUAUCGAGUUCUUUAACCUCUUUUGCUAUUUCAGAGUCGUGGGGUUUGAUCGGGGGGCUUAAAGAUUGACCUUUGCUUCAGGUGGAAACUGCUCUGUUGAACGCGUCUACCUGCCAAGACCUCCUGUCGCCAACAAACCUGGUCGGUUCGGGCCUAGUAGACAUAGCCGCUGGAAUGGAUAACAAAAUCCUUAGCGCGAUGAGCAGGAAGCGUGGUCGGGCUCCGAGUAGCUCCAACAACCUUCCCCCUCCUCCAAAGAAACCCAGCGUCUGUCUUUCCAAGGCGCCUGUUCCUGCUCUGCCCCCUCCUCCACCUCGUAAGAGUGGUGGGGAGAAAACCUACGACAAGAGUCCUGAGGUCAGCUUGCAAUCUGAGGACCGAUCUUCUCCUCUUCUAUCUCGGGAUCAAGGUGACUACCUGAGCCCAUAUCAGAAGGAUUAUAAAAAAUCGGUUGGGCCCAAGAUGGUGAAGGACAUCGAGAGCAUGAGUCUCUCCGAGUUAGCUGCUUUUAUUCAAAGAGUCUCCUUCAGGUUGUCCACAAUGGUCUCGUGCUACAAGACCGGGUCCGCGCGUCAUGAGAAGAAGCUUCAAGCUGACAAUCAGGAGUUGAAAAAGAAAGCUGAAUCUGCUGACCGCUCCAAGGAGAAACUAGCCGAGCUGAACAAGCAGAUUACAGAGCUGGAGGAGAAAGUUGCAGUUGCUGAGUCUACUGCCUCCAGGUUUGAGGGUGAGUUGGAUGGCCUGAAGUCGGACCUUCAGGUAACUCAAAGUGAAAGAGAUACUUUGAGGACCGCCCUUGAGGGAGAAAUCAAAUCCCUGAAUGAGCAGCUGGCUGAGGAGAAAGGCAAAUCCGCUGAUGUGGACGAUCGGUUGGAUGCCGAGUAUGACUCGGGGGUUGCUUUCUCCUAUAAGUGUAUCAUGUCUGUGCUUCAGGGAGAAUAUCCCGAGCUGGACAUGAGCAAGUUGGAGGCUGGAGUGCAGCGGUAUAUGGCAGAGGUCGGCCAGGCGGACAAUGAGCAGGGUGAGCAGGAUCAGGUGGAGGCUCCUUUGGAUGAGGUGCAAGAGGGGGAAGCUGGGGGACGUCCUUUCGAAGUGGGUCAAGGGUCCAUGCCUCCUCCUCCCGGCAUUGCUGAUCUCCCACCUCCUGAACUGCUGUACGGCCAAGGCGGAUGUACGGUACAGCAGUUUGUAAACAAUUGAACAUUUAUAAAUUUUUAGAUGCUCUUUAUUUGCUUUCUUGUUCGGUUUUUGCUAAUAGAUUGUUUCUGAAAAACAAUUGGAUAACUUAUCUGAUUUUGCCUGCUGGUUCCUUAGCGAACUGAGCAGGAGUAGACAUUUACUUGCCUUAGUAAAAUUUCCAUAAAACUGGUUGCUUGUCUUCAUUGACCGAGCCGAACUAGGCACUUACUUGCCUUAAUAGGAUUUUUUGUAGAAUUAGCUGCUGGUCUUUCGUUGACCGAGCAGAAGUAGGCAUUUACUUGCCUUAGUAGGAUCUUCGUAGAUUUAGCUGCUGGUCUUUCGUUGACCGAGCAGAAGUAGGCAUUUACUUGCCUUAGUAGGAUCUUCGUAGAUUUAGCUGCUGGUCUUUCGUUGACCGAGCAGAAGUAGGCACUUACUUGCCUUAGUAGAAUCUUCGUAAAUUUAGCUGCUGGUCUUUGGUUAACCGAGCAGAAGUAGGCGCUUACUUGCCUUAGUAGAAUCUUCGUAGAUUUAGCUGCUGGUCUUUCGUUGACCGAGCAGAAGUAGGCACUUACUUGCCUUAGUAGAAUCUUGGUAAAUUUAACUACUGGUCUUUCGUUGACCGAGCAGAAGUAGGCACUUACUUGUCUUAGUAAGAUUUUUUGCUUCAAGCUGACAAUCAGGAGUUGAAAAAGAAAGCUGAAUCUGCUGACCGCUCCAAGGAGAAACUAGCCGAGCUGAACAAGCAGAUUACAGAGCUGGAGGAGAAAGUUGCAGUUGCUGAGUCCACUGCCUCCAAGUUUGAGGGUGAGUUGGGUGGCCUGAAGUCGGACCUUCAGGUAACUCAAAGUGAAAGAGAUACUUUGAGGACCGCCCUUGUGGGAGAAAUCAAAUCCCUGAAUGAGCAGCUGGCUGAGGAGAAAGGCAAAUCCGCUGAUGUGGACGAUCGGUUGGAUGCCGAGUAUGACUCGGGGGUCUCCUGGUCCCGUGGCUCGUAUUACUCUAUACGGGCCUUUCCAUUUUGGGCCAAGAGCACCAUGGUUGGGAUCCCUAGUAUUUUGAUUCACCUUCCUAAGUACCCAAUCUCCUGCUCGGAACUGCCUCACGCGUACAUUCUUGUUGUAAUAACGCGUGACCCUUUGCUGACACUGGGCCACUUUCUGUGAGGCCCCUUCCAUUUUCUCCUCAAGUAGGUCCAGGCUUAAGCAGAUCUGCUCGUCAUUUUCUUCCUCAGCGAAAUAUUCCGUUCGAUGUGUCCCCACUCCAAUCUCUGCUGGGACUACUGCCUCAUGACCAAAAGAUAAAGCGAACGGGGUUUCCCCUGUAGCAGUUUUGUGAGUUGUCCGGUAAGCCCACAAUACCCCUGGUAGCUCGUCAACCCAAGCUCAUUUUUUGAUUGCCAACUUGUGGCAAGCUACCCCGCGAUCAAUUCCGGGCAUAUCUUCAUGAGACCAGGCGAAUAUAUCCGCAUGAGACUGUAGGCAAUUUAUCAGUUCGCCUUUUAUUGCCCCAACCAAUCCUGACCCGAUCUUCACUACUCUGCUCGGGUUGCUUUUGCUUACCGCAACUUCCUCCAGUUUCUCAACAGGCUCUUGGCGGCCCUUUUUAGAGUCUCCUCGAUUAUCUAGAGAGGUAACCUGCAGUGUCUCCUUGGCCGCUGUAGCAUAACAACUCCUUGCCAUCCUCUGGUCACCUUUUACUACGCCAACCACCCCAUUUACUCUGUAUUUCAGUGCCAAGUAAUGCGUGGAUACAACGCAUUGGCUUAUCCUCAUGAAUGGUCUCCCCAGUAUCAUCUGGUAAGGGCUUCUUUCCUCUACCACGACAAAAUCCAGCAUCAUUGUUCUUUCAAAUGGUUUUGUCCCUAUAGUAAUUGGGAGUUCGAUGAUCCCCAUGAGAGUUAACCGUCCCCCUCCAAAUCCCUUUAAGGAUGUAUUUGUCCGCUCAAAUUUCAAGUCUGCGAUCCCCAUAUCAUCUAGAGCCAACUUAAACAGGAUGUCAACCGAGCUGCCUGUGUCUACUAGUAUUCGUCGCAAUUCUGUACCGACCACCAUUGCCUUGAUCACCAAUGCAUCCUCAUGCGGAUAUAAGAUACCCUCUUCAUCGUCAUCUGUCCACAUAAUGGGAACUUGCCGCACUUUUGCCUUCUUGGUUGCCGGCAAAUUGAAAAGCACUUCUUUGCUAGUCAGGGCAUAUCUCCCAUAGUUCUUCCGUGCCCUGUUCGAAUCCCCGGCCAAUGUUGGCCCUCCUGCUAUUACACGGAUGGUCGGCUGUUCACAUUCCAAAUCCCUCUCAACCCCUUCAUCCCGUGUAUAUUGUGAUUCCAUGACAAGGGACAUUCCAUCUACAUACUCGUCUGUUGUAAUAACGCGUGACCCUUUGCUGACACUGGGCCACUUUCUGUGAGGCCCCUUCCAUUUUCUCCUCAAGUAGGUCCAGGCUUAAGCAGAUCUGCUCGUCAUUUUCUAUCAGCUGAACUGCUCGGUUAUCAUGAAUGUCACCUCGGGCUGACACAGUCGCUAACUGAUCUGGUCGACUAGCCAUGGAAUUAGUUGCAUGUGAUGCUCUGGGAGUGUUGUGAUAGGGGUGGGCAGCCAUCUGCCGGAAUUCUCUUUGCCGAUCCGGGAAUGGGGGACGCGGAGGUUGAGCCCGGUUGUGCUGGAACUGCUGUGAUCUCAGAGCCAUGGGGUAAGGGCGGGACCGAGCCGAUAUUCCGCCCAUCACUGAAGAUUCUCCAGCUCGUUUUCCCGACCCGCUCCCUGUCGGGACUCUCCGUUCCUUUCGCCUCAGCUCGUCCAGCUGUUCACUUUUUAUUCUUGCCGAUUUCUCCUCUUCGAUUUCUAUAUCUCGCCUCGCCUGCUCAUACCCCGACGAGUAAUUCUGUACAAGGGGGCUUCUUAAGUUAUACCAUAGUCGGCCGAUUCUUACACCUUCUUUUAAUCCCCUCAACGCCUGCGGGUGAUUAAAAGCUCCCAGAUCCAGCACGGCUCGGUGAUAUCUUUUUACAACCAUUUUGGGCCAAGAGCACCAUGGUUGGGAUCCCUAGUAUUUUGAUUCACCUUCCUAAGUACCCAAUCUCCUGCUCGGAACUGCCUCACGCGUACAUUCUUGUUGUAAUAACGCGUGACCCUUUGCUGACACUGGGCCACUUUCUGUGAGGCCCCUUCCAUUUUCUCCUCAAGUAGGUCCAGGCUUAAGCAGAUCUGCUCGUCAUUUUCUUCCUCAGCGAAAUAUUCCGUUCGAUGUGUCCCCACUCCAAUCUCUGCUGGGACUACUGCCUCAUGACCAAAAGAUAAAGCGAACGGGGUUUCCCCUGUAGCAGUUUUGUGAGUUGUCCGGUAAGCCCACAAUACCCCUGGUAGCUCGUCAACCCAAGCUCAUUGCAGAAUCUGCUCUUAUCCCGUCGGUGAGUCGGUUUUGUUAUUGGGGCUGGAGGGUACAGCAAGCUUCGUCCCUCGAUCCUCUCAUACAAUUCCUCCAUGGAGAUCUUUAACGGAGUGUACUGUCUAUACGCCAAGCUCUGGUCUAUCAGCUGAACUGCUCGGUUAUCAUGAAUGUCACCUCGGGCUGACACAGUCGCUAACUGAUCUGGUCGACUAGCCAUGGAAUUAGUUGCAUGUGAUGCUCUGGGAGUGUUGUGAUAGGGGUGGGCAGCCAUCUGCCGGAAUUCUCUUUGCCGAUCCGGGAAUGGGGGACGCGGAGGUUGAGCCCGGUUGUGCUGGAACUGCUGUGAUCUCAGAGCCAUGGGGUAAGGGCGGGACCGAGCCGAUAUUCCGCCCAUCACUGAAGAUUCUCCAGCUCGUUUUCCCGACCCGCUCCCUGUCGGGACUCUCCGUUCCUUUCGCCUCAGCUCGUCCAGCUGUUCACUUUUUAUUCUUGCCGAUUUCUCCUCUUCGAUUUCUAUAUCUCGCCUCGCCUGCUCAUACCCCGACGAGUAAUUCUGUACAAGGGGGCUUCUUAAGUUAUACCACAGUCGGCCGAUUCUUACACCUUCUUUUAAUCCCCUCAACGCCUGCGGGUGAUUAAAAGCUCCCAGAUCCAGCACGGCUCGGUGAUAUCUUUUUACAAAAUCUCGAAGGGAUUCAUGCUCCUCCUGUUUCAUCCCCAUCAGUUCCAUCAUAUCGUCCUCUGGGGCCAUUGCCCCUCGGAACUGCUCGGCCAACUCCUGGCACAUCUGCUCAUACCCUUUUAUACUUCCUCGGGGCAGCUUGCGGUACCAUUCUCGGGCUCGUCCCUCUAAUGUCAACGGGAACACCCUGCACCUCUGAGCUGAUGUCAGCCCCUGCACACCCGUCAUGUCGUUGAAACGCUCAAUGUGCACCAGCGGGACAUUUCGCCCGGAGUAUUUGAGGUCGGGGAAGCGGAAAUCUCUUGGGAUUAUGGUACUCAUGAUCUCAGUUGAUAACAGAGAUUCUUCAUCUAGCAUUAUCCUCCAGGUCGAGGCUUUCUCUUGCCCUGUAUCUCCUCUAUCACCUACGCCAAUCUGCGCACCUCCCCCUCCAAUUCUAAGGCACGGUCAGGAUCACGUGCAGCUAUAUGGUCUCGUUCCAGCUCGGCAUUGUGUAACCGCUAUCUGAGCUCUCCUUCGUCAACACUGGCACCUCGGCCAUUGACUUCCAGGACCUGUCCGGGGCGAGGUUGGUCCCUCCCUUCAUCCACGCGUUCUCCCGGGACCCGACCAGUACUUCUGUGGGGAUGCACCCCAUUAGGUUGGUCUGCGGGCGGAGGGAUUUCCUCGACUCUACGCCUCCGAAGGCUGGGUUCUACUCCAACUUCAUCUCUUCCCACGGGGGUUUCACAAUCCCUUCUCCGCUCAUCCCUCAGCUCGAACAAUAUGGUUGCGAGAGUCUCCAUUUGUUUCUCCAUCCGCUCCAGUCUAUCUUGCAUCAUCUUCUCUCGGGCUUCAUUUGCAAUUUCCCGGAGAGUGACUGUCUCCCCAGCUUCGUUAUCCUCCCUCAAAGCGUCCUUCCUUGUCACAUCCAUGCCUAACCGUUCGCUGUUUUUCCAGUAACUACUAAUUCGGUGGUAGCUUUUUAUCCAGNNNNNNNNNNNNNNNNNNNNNNNNNNNNNNNNNNNNNNNNNNNNNNNNNNNNNNNNNNNNNNNNNNNNNNNNNNNNNNNNNNNNNNNNNNNNNNNNNNNNNNNNNNNNNNNNNNNNNNNNNNNNNNNNNNNNNNNNNNNNNNNNNNNNNNNNNNNNNNNNNNNNNNNNNNNNNNNNNNNNNNNNNNNNNNNNNNNNNNNNNNNNNNNNNNNNNNNNNNNNNNNNNNNNNNNNNNNNNNNNNNNNNNNNNNNNNNNNNNNNNNNNNNNNNNNNNNNNNNNNNNNNNNNNNNNNNNNNNNNNNNNNNNNNNNNNNNNNNNNNNNNNNNNNNNNNNNNNNNNNNNNNNNNNNNNNNNNNNNNNNNNNNNNNNNNNNNNNNNNNNNNNNNNNNNNNNNNNNNNNNNNNNNNNNNNNNNNNNNNNNNNNNNNNNNNNNNNNNNNNNNNNNNNNNNNNNNNNNNNNNNNNNNNNNNNNNNNNNNNNNNNNNNNNNNNNNNNNNNNNNNNNNNNNNNNNNNNNNNNNNNNNNNNNNNNNNNNNNNNNNNNNNNNNNNNNNNNNNNNNNNNGUUGAUAACGGAGAUUCUUCAUCUAGCAUUAUCCUCCAGCUCGGGGGCUUUCUCUUGCCCUGUAUCUUCUCUAUCACCUGUGCCAAUCUGCGCACCUCCUCCUCCAAUUCUACGGCACGAUCAGGAUCACGUGCAGCUAUAUGGUCUCGUUCCAGCUUGGCAUUGUGUAACCGCUGUCUGAGCUCUCCUUCGUCAACACUGGCACCUCGGCCAUUGACUUCCAGGACCUGUCCGGGGCGAGGUUGGUCCCUCCCUUCAUCCACGCGUUCUCCCGGGACCCGACCAGUACUUCUGUGGGGAUGCACCCCAUUAGGUUGGUCUGCGGGCGGAGGGAUUUCCUCUACUCUACGCCUCCGGAGGCUGGGUUCUGCUCCAACUUCAUCUCUUCCCACGGGGGUUUCACAAUCCCUUCUCCGCUCAUCCCUCAGCUCGAACAAUAUGGUUGCGAGAGUCUCCAUUUGUUUCUCCAUCCGCUCCAGUCUAUCUUGCAUCAUCUUCUCUCGGGCUUCAUUUGCAAUUUCCCGGAGAGUGACUGUCUCCCCAGCUUCGUUAUCCUCCCUCAAAGCGUCCUUCCUUGUCACAUCCAUGCCUAACUGUUCGCUGUUUUUCCGGUAACUACUAAUUCGGUGGUAGCUUUUUAUCCAGCUCCCCACAGACGGCGCCAAAAUGUUGAUGCUGAAAUCUGCUCGCCUCUUGACCGACCAGAUUCUUUCACCAACGUUUGUGUUAUCUACUGUUGCUUGUUCACUAGGAUUGGAAUCGUCCUUCUUUCUCUCAAUAGACCUGCACUCACUAAAAAUGGAUCAGAGACGCCGGUGGUUUUACCGGCGUAAACCCUCCGAUGCCUAAGUUAGCACAAGGUGUUUACAGGAAAACAGUGUAAUUUGGAUUCCAGGAGCUUAUUAAAAAUUUGUAAGGAAAUGGCCUAGUUGCAAUUUGGCAGCGUUUUCCCUCUCUCUCUUUUUUUCCCCUUUCUUCACCGAUUUCUUCUUCUUUUAUAGCCGUUGUCCCCACGUUUCCGUUUGCCAUUCAUCUCACCUUUUUCGGGUAGUGGCAGCCCCUUAUGGGAUUUUAACUGCUACAUUGUGGGCAAACGUGGGAUCUCGCAUCUCCCACAACGGUUCUGGGAAAAGCGCAACUACCGCGAUUCUGUGGGAUCGUAUUUCCGCUUUUUGGGGGACGGGUACCGGCUCGGUAUACAACUCUGGUCGGUAUUCGUCUCUGAUCAGCUCAUGUUACCCCCUGUUCUGCUCGUACCAUUUGGCUGAGGUGAUUCAUGCCGGGGUGGAAAUAGUAGCAUGGCCGACCUGGUGCUUUUAUUUGCUUAACAGAAGGUAUUUUCAGAAUGUUAAAAUUUCAAUGGGAACAGAUUUUUUAUUCCCAAAAAUCGAUCGUUGAGAAUUAGUCUCGCAUUUUCAUGCUUAUUUUAGUCUUUCAUUUUGAUGCUUAUUUUGUAAAGUAAAUGCUAUUAAUAAUUUCGAUUCUCCAAUCAAGAAAGUAAACAUAAGUAAACAUCGCAGUAAUGUAUAACUAUAGCAAAUUUAUGAUAUAAAGUAUUGUCAUUAUAUAUAUGUUUAUACUCGCGCGGAAUCUACGUAAGCACUCGUGGCCACAGCACACUCAAGAGGAAGCCCUUUUGGGAAGCGCUUUGUGUCUGUACAAUAAUUAUAAAUCAUGUAAUUCUUCUGCACCCACUUGAGUUUCUCUCGGCUUGUUUCAUCAAGCUCAUCGAUCUUCAUCCAUGCAGAGGAUGAAGAAUUCGAAGGGCAAGGCGCAGAAAUGAUUGGACCUGCUGGGUAACGAAUGCAAGUUUUGGCAUUAAAGUUUCUACAAGAAGCUGUAAAUGGAGCUUUUGUCCAAUCUGUUUUGACAAGACCGCCUCUUGUUGCCCAGUCAUCAGCGUUCCAGAGACUCGAGUGUAUUCUCAUUGGUUGGUUUUUUGGGUAAGGAAUGUUGAUUGACUCCAAGUUCUUGAACUCUCUAAUCGGUGUGCCAUCGACAUAGAAUCUGAAAACGUUUUUAAACAAAAAUGUUAGAGAGCCUUUUUAACCCAAAAGAGCCCAAAGAAUAUAUGAAGUAUUAAACCAAAAAAAAGAGACACGUCUAAUAAAAAAAAGAAGAGGAUUAAUUAGUGACUUGAAUUGUUGCUUGUUUUCAACAAGAGAUGAUUAGUGGAUUGAAAUUCUUACACGAUGGUUUUGGGAUUCCAGAGAAUGGAAUAUGUGUGAAAAUCUGAAGUGGGAUCAAACCAGGGAUAAAAUUGCUGCUCUCUGUCACCUUUGCCUUGUGUGAUUACAUUUGUGUGAAAAAUAUAAGGAUCGCCACUGAGAUUUCCCAAGAACUCAAAGUCUAUCUCAUCCCAUGUUGAUCCUUGUGAUGACAACUAUAACACAGAAUUAAAAAUAAGCUUACUCUUAAAGAGAAAAACAUUUUCGUGCAAGAUCACUGGCAGCUUACGCCUUACAUAGUAAGAUGUGACAGUGCCAGCAGAGUUGCCUGGGACAAGCUUGAAUUGCAUGUCAAUUUUGCCAAAUAGAUACUCAUUCUUGGACUGGAAACCUGAGCCUGUGUCUUUGCCAAGGUAAAGAUUGAGGACUUCUCCAUCGUUGCGAAUCCUGACCUUGUCAAUUCCCCAUAUGAUGUCAAAAUCUUGAUAAAAAUUACUAGCUGGUAAAACUAACACAAAAGAGUUAGAUAAUAAAGCAGACAGCAUUAUCAGCACUACUAGUGAUUUAGCCGCAGCCAUUGUGCGAUAUUUAAAAUUUUGUUAUAGUUUUGGAUUUUUAUAGAGACGAAAAGAAAGAAGCGAUUUGCCAUUUGGAAAAAGAAAAAUGAAAAUUUUAAGAGAUAAGAUAGAUGAUGGGGAAGAGUUAGAGUCAAGGAUUAGGCUAGCACUUGUGGGGCAAAGAGCAAGAGCGGGAAACAGAUGGCAAAGACUGAAAUUAGUGAAAAGAAACUGCGAAAAUGCGGAUUUAUGCAUGUCACACAAGUGACAGCCCUAAGCAUGGUUUAUUAACACGUUGAAAUUUUGGCUGAUGGGUGCUUUUUGACCACUCUAUAUAGUUUCCGCAUCUACUGACCGGCUGGGCUCAGCCCUAUGUGAUUAGGAUGACUUUGGAGCAGUUUCCGUACUUAGAAUAGUCCCAAAAUAUGCUUAAGAAAAUGAGCAGGGUGUUCAAAAUCUAAUUCAAUUGGCUUAAUCCCAAAAUUAAUAGUCCCAAAAUUUGACUUUUAUAAUCGCCGAGAGUAAAAAUGAUUAUCUUAAGAUUUCAACAAGUCUUAAUAUAUUUUUCUUCACUUUUCUUUCUAGUAAUCAUGACAAUACAAAAAUUGUAACUAAAAAAGAAGAAUUAUGUACUUGGUCAUGAUUCAUGAGGAGACAUAAUGAAUCUUAUAAAAUGAAACCUUUGACUUCAAUUGGAUCUUGAGUCGCACAACCACUCUAGCUUUAUACAUAUUGUGUCUAGAUAUAAUAAAGUUCAAUGGUGCUCGUCGUUAAUUACUGUUAAAUGAUAAUAAAGUUUUAGCAAGAUGAUAUGAAUAUAAAGAGCAAAACAAUUUCGGAAUAUUUUGAGCUGUCAUAUUUACAUAAUUAACUUAACAGCUAAUAUGUUUAUCAAACAUUUACACAGUAAUAAUUAAUAUUAAUAACUUUUGUAACAACUCAAUCCCAAACUUGCCUCUUUUUAAUGUUUUGAAAUUAAACUUUACCUUUAAAUGUGUUGACAGAUAUUGACUCCUCCAAAUUAGCUCCAUCAACUGAAAUUCACCGCCACGUUUCCCCGACAUCUUAGGCGCCAGCAUCAUUUACACGUGGCAAAAAGAUAACUUUACACUUAUUUGAUAAACACAAAAGUAAAACUUCAAUUAAUCAAAUUAGAAAUAAUAGCUACCUGAUGUCCCAAAAUAUUUGUAUGAAGUCACAUAAAUCUUAUCACAACGAACAAAGUAGCUAGCUAUCACUUCUAUUUGGUCCAUUUUUCAUCUGCAUCAUUUUCCUACGUCCUGCAUGAAGGACCAAAAACAGAAGGAGCAGCUGGGGGAUGAAGGGAAAAACCCUAAUGGUCAAAACCCUUGUGGAGAAAACCCUAAUGGAGAAAGCCCUAAAAAGCAAAAUGAUGAUGCUUCACUUGUACGGCAUCCUGUGAAGAGUACUGGUCAUCAUCUGAUCGCUGAUGAUUCUUAUUUUGAUUCAUUCCCGCCUGGUUACCGAUUCAAACCCCACGAUGGAGAACUUGUGGUUUAUUACUUGCGGAGGAAGAUACUGAAUCAGCCAUUGCCUCCAAACCAGAUCAAGGUGGUGGAGUUGUAUAGGUUUAAUCCUAACACACUUACAGGUUAGGGGAAAAAAAAGUCACUUUUAAUUUCUUAUUUUCUCAAUUUCUGUGUUGUAUGUUGUUUUAUUGGCACGCAUCAUAUAUGAUUAAUUUUUUUUAUAAAAAAAUCUGUUUAUUCCUUAUUUCUCGAGAUUAUUAUUUAUUAGAAUGGAAAUUUUCUGAGUCUCGUUAGUGGCUUCUCUACUCUUUAUUAUUCAAAUUUUGUAGUCUUCGCUUGGGAUAUUUGUGGCUUCUCUACUCUUUUUCACGAUAGAUGUUUAUGCCAUUACAUAUAUAAUAUUACAGUGUAUAUUUUAAUGUGAUGCGAUUUUACAUCAGGUAUGAUUUUAGAUUUAGAUGGUGUUGUAAAUCAGCAUAUAAAAUUUAAUCCCCUCAUAUUGAAAACGUUUAUAAUAUGUUAUUUCUUUCGUAUUAGUUUGUCUACAUUUUUUUUGUUUCAUGAUAUCUUUAUGAAAUUUCUUUUAUUCUGUCCACUGAUGCAAUGAUUUACAGAAAGGUACAAGUCACUUGGUGAAAUGGAAUGUUAUUUCCUUACACCAAGAGAUAGAAAAUAUCGAAAUGGUCUAAGACCCAAUCGAGCUGCUGCAGAUGGGUACUGGAAGGCCACAGGAGCUGAUAAACCUGUUAAGCACAAUGGCAGUUUGGUUGGAUUCAAGAAGGCAUUGGUCUUCUACAAGGGAAAAGCUCCAAAGGGUGAUAAGACUAACUGGAUCAUGCAUGAAUACAUAGUGAAUAAUCCACCACAGAAACAAAAAGGCCGAAAUGAUAUGAGGGUAAAUGAUUUUCCUUGUUGUCCAAAUUCAUUUUUAUUUGAUUCUUUUUUUUGGUUUUAUUCGACUAAUUUCUGCUUCAUACAAGUCCCUUGCAGUUAGAUGACUGGGUUCUCUGUAGGAUCUAUAAGAAAACAAAGCAGUCAGCCAAAGCUUCUACUCGAAAACGAGAGGAUUCAGAGGAGGAUCAACAAUCAAGAAGCGAAGUUGCAACUCAAUCUCAAGAUAGUGGACAAACUUCAGUUGAUGAAAAGGCUAAAAUGCUGCCCAAAACAGAAAAUUUCAAGCCUGAAGGCCUUGGAAUCUUUGAUGUGCCUGAUUACUACAACCAGGGAAGAUUCUUCAGCGCAUAUGAUAAUGUCCUUUUAUCUUGUCAGAGUCCAUAUGCUAAUUUUCAGGAUGGUCAUCAGGGUAAUUCUCAGAAUUGGCUUCCUUUAAUCCCUCAGUCGGGGUUUCAGCAAAUGCUCCAUCAUAAUCCUACGUGGGAGAGCCCUAUGAAGCCUGAACAGUUCGGAUAUCCGCCCGAUGAUGUGUUUAGUGAUCUCCCUUCGGAAGACAAUUGUUUUGAUCCUCUACCUCAUAAUUUUACGAACUUAUAACUCUUUUCAUUUUGUGAUUCGAUUAGUUAAUGGUAGCUGACAUUAAUUGGCAUUUAUAAUAAGUUAGUUAGAGUGUACUUUAGUAGAGGUCGGUUUUCUUGAACUCAAUUUUUCUUGCAAUUCUGUGUACUUUGAUUGUUAUUUAUAUGAAUGUCAGCAGCAUGGAUAUUCAAGGAGAGUUGCUAUUUCUAUGGGUGGUAUGCUAAGGCUCCAUUUGCUUUAGCUUUUUGGUACUAAUUCUGUUACCAUUAUCAAAAUAUUUAAAAUAUUUGUAACUCAACUUUGACAGUACAACUGAUUAUUUCUCACAGUUUUCAGUUGUAACGCUCUUUGAACAAGAUUUUCUAAUCACUAAAAUUAUAUACAUAGUUUCCUAGAAUACCAAAUUAUUUACGUGACGAUCAUAUUCUUUGUUUGCCUCAAAGCUUGAGUUGUUUCUUUUAUCUCUCUUAAUUCCAAUUCAAGAGCUGUUUUCAGAAUUUUUUUUCCUUAAAUCCCAAUAGAAAAAAUGUAACGGAACAAUUUGUUAUGAAUGUAAUAAGCCAUAUAUAUCACAAAAAGGAGCAUAAACUGCACGGCUACUAUAUAUUGUUGAAGCUCUAUGAUUUUUAAAUUCUUUAUGAACGAUGUACCUCCGAUGUACUUUUAUUUUUUCUUCUUUUUGUCAUUUUGAGAUAAAUUUUUCUCCUCGAUCUCUUUAGAUGUUCAUAACUAAAUAUUCUUUAAGAUAGAGCGCAAUGUUUUAUCCCUACCACCACAACCCUAUCAUAAAGGAGACUAAAAAUUUGAGUUGGAGAAACAAGAAACUCAAUUCAAUCUAUAGAAAUUAUGAAGCCGUGUGAUAUGAUGAACUAACGGAGCUGCAGAAUGGCCUUUGAAAGUAAUGUUAAAAGCUUAAAACCUUUUUGAGUUUCCUUUAGCAAAUGUCAUAUGCAUUUUCUCUGAUCAAUGCACGAGAAAAUAUAACUUAGAGAUUGUUUAUCAAACGUUAGAAGUUUGUUAUUUGUUUUUGUGAUUUAUGUCUGAUUUUUAGAUAUUUACAUUUGAAUGGAAAAAAUAAAUUUUUAUAUCUUUUAUUUGAAUGGAAAAGGUUUGCAUGAAAAAUAAAUAUUAUAUUCCAAAAAUAUCUGUAUAAAAUAGUUUAUUUCCUCAACUAUAAGAUCUAAUCCUUUUUUGUUUUAAUUUAUGAGGAUAUAAUUAUCAAAGAAUCAAGUUUAAAACCUUUUUUUUUUGUUAUAAAAACAAAUAAGAUGUCAUUUAUACUCAUAUAUUAAAAAAAAAAAAGAAAUCUAAACGUUUCAUUCAAUUUUUUUUUAUUUAAAUCCAUUCAAACUUCUGAAAAAUUCAGAUUCAUUCUAAUUUCAGACUUUAAAAAAAAAUGUUAUCUUACUACAAACUAAAUUCCAAACUUAAUAAAUUAAUAUCAGAUCCCAGCCACAAUUCGCAUAUGAAAUGUUUGAGAACGAAGUUGUGAGAAAAUGCAGUCAGAAUCGACUGCCAUCAAUUAACAAGUUCCUUGGGAGGAAACAUGUUCAAUUUCUUUUUCUUUUUCUUUUUUUCCAAAAUUUUAAUGUGGAAAAUUAAUUCGGAUGCCGGGGUUAGUCCAACCACAGCACUCAUACUGGGCCGUGCGAGUUAAUUUUUGGGCCAAGUUCUUAACAUAUUUACUCAAUAUUUUGGAUGACAAAAUUGCCCAUAAACGCCCUGCAAGGACAUAACUGCAGAAAACAGGCUGGAGUAAAGUAUGCGACUAUGCGGUAACAAAACUUUCGGGACGCCUGCGUUAAUGACUUUUUGUUACUGCCACAAAGCAGUCACAAAAAGGUCAUUUGUGACUGCGGAGUGAUCACAUAAAACUCCUCCUCCUUGUAGUGCCACCUGCAAAAUAAUCCAUACUAGACCUCCUAAUUCUUCAUUUUCAUCCCUAUUAUUAAGUUAACUCGAUUGAAAUAUAUAUUUAUGAAAUUACAUGCACCAACUAUUUAUCGAGAAUUACAUUAAAUUAUGUAUAUAGCUAAUGUAAGAUCAAUUUGGAGAACUAAAAAUAUGUUAAUAAAAAUAGAAAACCGGGUUAUAUCGUUUGUCCCUCUUGUUCAUGUAUCGAUUUUUUUUUUUUAAAUUCCGCGGAACUACUGCAGCUACAGUGCUGGAAAGGAGCAAAUAUGUCGGAUUAUGCUAAGGAUUGCAUUAAAUGAACAAGAAGCUAUCCUAUAUUCUCUCAUUUUGCUAAAAGAUAAGGCAGUGAAAUAACUUCUAUUCUACUUCUACUUUGAAGAAUUUUACUGCUUCUCAAUCAACUACAUCAGCAGAAACUAUCAUAUUUCGCCACAUCAGCUUCAAUGACAGCUACUAAAGCACACAUUCUGGAAUCAUUGAACUCAAUCAUAACCAUCAAAUCAUUGACCACCGAUAGAUUGGCAUCUUAACUGAAUCCAAAGGAUAAAUCGCCUUCCGAAAACCGUUUGAUAAACCGAUCAGUUAGAAAAAGUAUCUACUUUAUUUAAUGUUAUAUAAUCCAAAUAAAUUAGUAUAAAAUAAGCCCCUAAUAGGAUUCUAGGGUUUUGAUUAGAGAAUUAAGAGAGAAUAGAUGAAGAAGUUAAAGAGAAGGGAGAAGAAUUAAUAGGAAUUAAAAUUAAUUUUAUUACUUGCGUCCUAAAAACAUAAUAAGAACCACUUACUUAUAGUAGUUCAAGACAAUCCUAAUUGUAAUUUAAUAAGGACUUUAAUUGAAAUAAGAAAAGCUAAUACUAAUAGGAAAGAAAUUAAAACAAGCAAUUAAAAUAAAAUAAACUAUUAGGGCCCUAACAGCCCCCAUGCAUCUGAUCACAACAAAUAUUCUUGAUGUAUCUGAUCACAACAAAUAUUCUUGUGAGGUCAAUUUUAUAGGGAAAGCAGCGUCUCCUUCAAGUUUCGGUAAAAGUUAUCAAUGCCGGACCAGCAGCAGGGAGAUAAGGACCAAGACCCUAACGGCCAAGACCGCAAUGGUAAAAACCCUAAUGGCCAAGGCCCUAAAGGAAAAAGGCCUAUAGAUCAUACUCGUGAUGCUUCACCACCUGUGCGGAAUCGGAUGAAUGCUGCUAAGGGUCCUGAGUUCGAUGAUAACUUUCCUCCUGGUUACAGGUUCAAGCCUCACGACAUAGAGCUUCUAGUUCAUUACUUGCGGAGGAAGAGAAUGAAUGAACCUUUGCCACCAAAUCGGAUUAAGGAAGUUCACUUGUACAAAUUUAAUCCUGAUACACUUUCAGGUUAAAAAUACCCACCACCCCAUUUCUCUUUUUUGUUUCUUUUGUUUUUUUGCAAUUGCCUUGCUGGUAUUUUUCUUUAAAUUAAGUAAUGCACUUACGCAUAUUAAGUUCUUUCUUUUUCUUGAGUUCAUUUGGUUAUUAAUUAGAGUGUAACUUCUUGAGUUUCUUGAAAUGGUUUAGUUUCUUGAGUUAGAAGUGUUUCCUUUGCGUUCGUUAUACAUAUAGUCUCAUAAUUUGAUUUGUUUUCGUACUUUGGUAAUGCUCUUAGCGCUUUUCUUGAGUUCAUUUGUAAUUGGAGUGGGCAUUUCUUGAGUUUCUUGAAAUAAAAUGGUCUGCUCUUCAGUUUCUUGAGUUAAAAGUUACUUCUUUGCGUUGUUGAAUGCUGAUUUAAUUUUCUACAUAUGGUCUCGUAGUUUGGUGCUUGUAUGUAUCCAAAACAAAGACUAUAAAUAUUUAUGUUGAUAUUAUUCCGUAUUCCAUAUAAUGGAAUCAGGAAGUGUAGAUCUUUUUUUUUUUUUUGGGUGAUUGAUACAAUGAUGAUUCUGUAUUAAUAAUGCACAGAAAAGUAUAAGCCGUUUGGUGAGAAUGAAUGGUACUUUUUUACUCCAAGAGAGAGAAAGUACAAAAACGGGACAAGACCCAAUAGAGCUGCUGGAGAUGGAUUCUGGAAGGCAACUGGAGCUGACAAACCUAUCAAAAACGACGACGUUGUCGUUGGAUUCAAGAAGGCAUUGGUCUUCUACAUGGGAAAACCCCCAAGGGGAGAUAAAACUGAAUGGAUAAUGCAUGAAUUUAGAUUGGAGGGUCCUCCAAGGACCAGAAUCAGUGGAGAUGACAUGAGGGUAACUAAAUUUUGUAGCUUCUUUCUGUGUCAUAUGUGAUGUGUUGCAGCAAUUUUACAAUGUUGGUUUGCUGAUGAGUUUUGCUUUUAUAUAUUAUGUUGAUUGCAGUUAGAUGAUUGGGUACUGUGUAAGAUAUAUAAGAAAAGGGACCAGGAUAGAUCUAAGCUGUCGUCUUCAAGACCUUCAACUUCGCAACGGGAUGAUUCAAUUUCAGGCCAAGAUGAUCCACAAUCAGACACUGAAUUUCAGGAUAAUGGAGCCAUUGAUAUGGGAGUUGAAGACUCUGCUACGCUGCCCAAUGAAACUUUCAUGCCUCACGGUCCUGAAGGUCCUCGAAUCAUUGAUAUGUCUGGUUUCUACAAUCAGGGAGGAUUUCUCAAUUCAUAUGAUGAUACUUUCAUUUAUCAUCAGAGCCACUUUGUUAAUCACAAUGUCCCAUAUUCUCAAGGCAGGGUUCCUGAAAUGCCUAAUUACUAUGUUCCAUAUGCUCAAGGCAGGGUCACUGGAAUGCCUAAUCACAAUGUUCCCUAUUCUCAAGGAAGGCUCCCUCGAUUGGCUAAUCACAAUGUUUCAGAUUCUCAAGGAAGGUUCCCUGGAAUGACAAAUCAAAAUGUUUCAGUUUCAGUUUCUCAGGGGAGGUUCCCUACAAUUGCUCCUUAUUCGUAUAACAAUUCUAUGGGGCAGAGCUCUCCAUGGACUCAACAUAUAAUGAUUCCGACUGCUAAUCAGAAUCCUAAUGAAGCUGCCGAAUCAUCAGCAGCAGCAAGGGGAAGACCUUUCCAGGCAUAUCCUCAUCAACAUAUGUUUGCUACUUCAAAUCGGAAUCCUAAUCAACCUGCAGAAAUAUCAUCAUCAGCAGCAGCAAGACCUUUCCAGACAUAUCCUCAUCAUCAUAUGUUUGCUACUUCUAAUCAAGUGGCAGAAUCAUCAUCAGCUGCAGCAGCAAGACCAUUUCAAGGUUUGGAGAGCGAUAUGAAAUUUGAACAGUUAAAUGAAUGUCCCCCGGAUGAUUUUUUGAAGGACCCUUCUGACGACAAUUGCUUUGAUCCGGAUUAUCAUAACUCCCGGAAAUUCUAACUCUGCCAUUUUUUUAUCCUUCGAUGAUCGAUGAUGACUGGCUUUGACAGAUUUGUUGAUUGAAAACGUAGUCAUAGUUACUACUAACUUUGUGCUUGACGUGAACAUUUCCAUAGAUUUUUCUCUAGGACGAUUAAUGGAUUAUUUUCUUAGAGGACUCUAUCUUCUAUUUUAGUUGUGGACCCAAUUUCUCUCACUUUGCAAGUGCCUCAUGUUGAUAGAUUUUAAAUUUGUCUUGAUUGCCAUGCAAAUUUUUAAAUAAGGUGGAUGUGGCUAUCCUUUUAUAAAUCACACUGAUUCAUAAAUAUUAUUCCCGCUUCCUAUGUCAUUAAAAGUAUAGAUUUUUGGUUUGUUAUAAUAUAUGACAUGGGGAACCCGGCUGAAACUUUUUUGGUUCAAUUACAAUGGUUACGCGUUGCCCAUUUGGUUACUUUAUAUUUUGUUGACAUAGGGUUACAAGCUUCUGGCAGCUGCUGUUUCUUCUGGAUAUAUAUAAUGCUAUUACAUUUUCCAUGGGGUAUGCCCUAUUUUUUCAGCCUUAAAAACUUUCAUGGUCUCCCUCGAUGUUUUCAGAAUCCUAAGAGGGAAGUGGGGAAAUCUAAUGCUACAAUAUAGUAAAUCCAAAACCAUUUCUCUUUGAUCUGGCAACUUCUGGGUGUCCACUAGAACAUACUAGAAAACAAAUUUUCAUGGAAGUGGCAUCGCAUUAUUUGUCGGUGGAUAUGCCAAAUGCUCAGGAGUAGGUGGAAAUAACCUAGGAAGCAAGUAGCAACUAUGCUCAUCUCUCCUGUAAAAUAAUGCCCGCAAGCAAUUUGACUGGCUUAAAGUUAUGACAAAGAUGCCCAUUUUCAAUGUGCACUUGUUUUUGCUAUCCAGCUGUUCAGUUCUCAACUCACCCCACCAACCAACUAUACAUUUCAAUAUUUGGCGAACAUUCGAUGCACUAACCAGCAGCUCCAAUAAAUAGCCUGGAACUCAGUAUUCUCAAGUGUGUCAAACUAAGUUGCAUAACGUUCCCGAAGUCAAUGCCUUGCUAUUCUUAUUCUUCUUAUCCAAUUUUCUUGUUCUCUUUUAUUGUCACAAGCUCUUUCAUUGUUGCAAAUGCUGGUAAUUUUAACAAAGAUGUUGAUAUUACAUGGGGUGAUGGACGUGCCAAGAUUCUCAACAAAGGCAAGCUUCUUACUCUGUCUCUCGACAAAGCAUCUGGCUCUGGCUUCCAGUCUAAGAAUGAAUUUUUCUAUGGAAAAUUUGAUAUGCAGCUCAAGCUUGUUCCCAACAACUCUGCUGGCACUGUCACUGCCUACUAUGUAAGCUCCUUAAUGAAAGAUUCUUUUUCCCUUUCACAUAUAAUUUGUUUGUCAGUCGUCACAUCAUUAUGUUGAUACGUAGACUUGCUAUGGUGCAGCUAAAAUCUCCAGGGGCAUCAUGGGAUGAAAUAGACUUCGAAUUCCUGGGGAAUUUGAGUGGCAACCCUUACAUUGUUCACACAAAUGUCUACACACAAGGAUAAGGUGACAGAGAGCAACAAUUCUACCUCUGGUUUGAUCCCACUGCCGAUUUUCACACUUAUUCAAUCCUCUGGAAUCCAGGUCACAUUGUGUUAGUACAUACACAACCCUGAUGUGAGCGAAAUUCGAAUCCUGGAUUUAAUUUUAUCAAGCUCGCAUUAACUUUUUAUUACAUUUUCUUUUUGUUCAGCUUCUAUAUCGAUGGCAGACCCAUCAGAGAAUUCAAGAAUCUCGAAUCAUUCGGCAUUCCGUAUCCCAAAAAACAAUCAAUGAGAAUGUAUGCUAGCCUGUGGAAUGCCGAUGACUGGGCUACAAGAGGGGGCCUGGCGAAAACAGACUGGUCUCAGGCUCCCUUCACUGCUUCCUUCGGAAACUUCAAUGCAAAAGCUUGUGUUUUGUCCAUCGGAAUAUCUUCUUGCAGCUCGAAUCCCGCAACUAAAAAUACAUGGUUUUCACAGGAGCUCGACUCUUCAAGCCAAAGGAAGCUAAAAUGGGUGCAGCAAAAUUACAUGGUUUACAAUUAUUGCGCAGACACAAGUUGGUUCCCUCAGUGCCUCCCCCAAGAAUGCACCAACAAAAAUUAGGACGAUGAAUCUUUUCUAAUCCAUUCAGUGUUUGGAAAUUCGUAUUUCAAUUAUAUUUUUAUUCUUUCUUCUACUUUUCUCAAUAGGGUUUCUUGAUUGCCAUCAAUCAUAUAACAUAAGAAUAUCGCUUCCCACUUGAUGCAUCUAAAUAAUAGUAAUAAAUGAUGUAGGAUGGUUUCAUCAAAAUUCAUUUUUCUUUUUAUUUUUUCAUUUUGGACUUCGGUUGGCAUCCUCAUCAUUAGAUAAUUAUUCUACAAAGUAAUAUAAUAUAUUAUUUACCCUUAUUAUAUAUGCCAAUUAUCAAGAAGAAAUGGGUAGGUAUUGAUAUUAAGGACUCAUCAGGUCCCUGCUAGGCCCAAAUGAAAUUAGUUCAAGAAUCAUGAACCUUGCAGGCCGAGCUCUAAUGGGCCAUUUAUGAUUUGCAUAAGUAUCCCAAACUUCUUCCAAAGAUAACUGCAAAAAAUUUAACAAAGUUGAUUGUUUUCCUCAAAUCGAACAAUAUUCAGAUUUUGUUCAGUGUUCAAUUACCCUAAGAAUUUUCUUUCCUAACUCAUGCAGAGCAAUCCAUAAUCUCAUUUCGCCAUGGCUUUUAUCCAAGUCACAUGUAGCCGCCCAUGCAUGGGGAGAUUGUAUAUUACAUUGAAAAUUUAUACCGUUAUGAUACUGCUCACAGGAAACAUGUCACCAAGUGUUAAGAAAGACGAGUUAUAUAAUACGUAAUUAACUAAUCACUGAACCCAAAGCAUGCGCCAACAAUGUCCUAAUUUGCCUCAACGACUUGUUUAUUAAGGCAAAGCCGGCCAGGGUCUUUUGAGAAAGCUUCAGCCAAGAUGCUGGAAGAGAGUGCUAGAGAGUGUUAAAGUGUAAUUUCCUUUACAAUAUGUUUGAACUGACACUUUGAAUGUCUUGAAAUUAAUACCAAUUUUUUUUGGGAUACUGCAUGUUAUAAUCAUUCUCAGGUGUGGACGCCGUAUUUUUUUUAAUACGGAUACACUUUUAUACUGUGUUGUUUAAAAGAUUUAGUUUUUAAAUGAACUGUAAAAUCGUAGGGCUUAAGUGAGUUAAAAGUUAAUUUUCUUAAAUUCUACGGUUUUAAAGUAUAUUCGCAUGAAAAUAAAAUAAGGAUGUCCACACUAUAAAAAGACUACUGCAUGUUAUAAGAAAGGUUAAAAAAAUUUUAUGAAUCAAUUUGUGGGUUGCAUGAACAGACUUCGUACUCAACUGUCAUUAUUCUUUGGACCUACAUUCUGGUUUCUCUCCUUUUUUUGUUUAAAUAAAGAAUCAAAUCUCUUUAUCUCGGCUUACUGUUGCAAGAAAAUUAAAAAGUACAAACCAAGAGAACGAAUACAAUACAACAUAAUCUGUUCCCCAACCCUCGAGGUAAUUAAUGGAAAGUGGGCAACAAUGUAUUUGACAGCAUUUCAAUAGAAGGAUGAUAUUCUGGUUUAUUUUCAAGGAUAGAUUGUGUUCGAGUAACAAUGUUUUAGAUGAUAUAUCACCAGCUGGCCUUUUGUAUCGUAGUCAUCUAAUGGACCCCCGUUCCUUGACCUGAUCCUGUUCACAAGUACGACAAUGACUAACCGACCGUCUGUCAAAUGCUUGAAAGAAUUUGACGCGGGAUUGAGCCCCAAGGACUGUGGUGGUGGAAUCGGCAGAAGCAAAAGUACAACCUAAACCCGUAUCUACAUAGAUAUGUGCGAGUACCGGAUAAUCAUGAUCGCAAUUCAAGAUCAAGUGGGUAUGCAUGCAGGCACCGAACCCCAUUUGGAAUUUGGGGCCAUGUCAUAUAAUCUGUCUGCAAAUGAGAAACAGCCAAAUUUGCCUCUCUUUCAAUUCAUGGCACAGCCAGCUGUUGACAACUUUGCACUCUCAGAAACGGCAAACAUGAAACAACCAUCCAAACGCACCCUCUUCUUCACUCUUCUUUUGUCCAUUUCUAUACUCCAAUCCCCUAUAUAAUAUUACAUUACAUCCAUGCAAAACUAGUAAUAAUUUAUGCACUAUUCAGUAUAGCGAGCUCCAGAUCCCAAAAUCCUGAAAGAUAUGGGUUCUGAUUCGUUUGGGGUGAUGAUGUGUACUUUUGUUGGGCGUUUAGCUGCUGUUUCUGCUGGUAAUUUCAAUGAGGAAUUUGAUAUCACAUGGGGAGAUGGUCAUGGGAAAAUAUUCAACAACGGCCAACUGCUUACUCUCAAUCUCGACCAUUACUCUGGCUCAGGCUUCCAGUCCAAGAAACAAUACUUAUUCGGCAAGAUUGAUAUGCAACUCAAGCUUGUCCCUCGCAACUCUGCUGGCACUGUCACUGCUUAUUAUGUACGCUUUUCUUUUUAUCAACACCUGCUGUUUUCAUUGAUUUCUUUGUAAUGAUGCUAAUUAAUAUUAAUUAUGAGAGUCUUUGAUGUUGUAGCUACGCUCACAAGGACCAACAUGGGAUGAGAUAGACUUUGUAUUCUUGGGAAACCUCAGUGGUCAUCCGUACACAGUUCACACAAAUGUGUACAGCCAAGGCAAGGGUGACAGAGAGCAGCAAUUUCAUCUCUGGUUUGACCCCACAGUCAACUUUCACACUUAUUCAGUUCUCUGGAAUCCUCAACGCAUUGUGUAAAGUCCAUUUCUCUCUUAUUAGUAUGUCAUUCGCUUCUACAAUUUUAUUGACUUGUGUUGUUCAAUUAAUUGCAUUAUUUCAGCUUCUCUGUUGAUGGUAUUCCAAUUAGAGAGUUCAGAAACCUGGAGGCUAUAGGCGUUCCAUUACCAAAGAAUCAGCCAAUGAGAAUAUACUCAUCUCUUUGGAAUGCUGAUGACUGGGCUACAAGAGGUGGGCUAAUCAAGACGGAUUGGAGCCAAGCUCCUUUCACUGCUUCUUACAGAAAUUUCAAGGUUGAUGGUAGCCGUGCCUGGCUCUUGCAACAAAUGGAUUCCACAAACCAACGGAGGCUUUACUGGGUGCGGAAGAAUCACAUGAUUUACAAUUACUGCACUGACACCAAGCGAUUUCCCCAGGGCUUUCCCAAAGAAUGCGCUGUCCAUUAAAGCUGGCUGUUCCAAAAACUUUAGCGCCUAGGUACAGGAGCUGUCUUGUAUAACAUAACAUUAAAUGAUAAAAUGUAAGCUAAUUAGUAGUGAGGGAUGCCUUUAGCACUAUCCGAAUUAGGUAGUCGGCUGGUUUUGUAUUUUGAAUAGCUAUUUAUUAACAUAAUAAUAAUAUUUAUUUUAAGAUUCUAAUUUUUUAAAGUUGCGUAUAUAUUGAAGGAAAAUUUAAUUUUUAGGAAUCUCCCUAUUAUUAUUCUCAUUCAUAAUUAUCUCUAUAUUUAAUAAUCUUUACUUUAAAAAUAAUUUUUUUUAUAAAAAUGUGAUAUUUAUGGUAUAAUAAUUAUUCUAAGCCUUUGAAACUUUAUUUGGUUAAUAAUUACAAGAAAAAAAUUCAACGUUUUCCCUUUCCCAAAAAUAACUACUCUAUUAAAAUUAUAAAUGUUAGAUUUUAAAACAUCUAGUAUUCUAUUCAUUCUAUUUCAAACUUCAAAACUAAUAGAUAUUGAAUCAAUGAUACUCACCCAAAAAAAAUUUCUCUCAUAUCUACUCGGAAUAUUAUUCUAAUCUUCCCUAUAAACUUCAUUGCCAGCAUCUAACAUUUGACUAUCAUAUUCAUCUCAACUAAUCAACCUUUUACGUGCUAUCGUUCUAAUUUUCUAUUUUAAUUUAUUAUUAUUAUUUUUUAAAUUUAUUAUAUUUUUUUAUUUGUUGCAUUAAUAUAUGACUUGAAUCAGUUAUGAAGUUUGUGAUUUGUAUAGCAUAAAUGUUGAUAAUUGACAAAUUUAACAAACAUGGUGAGCUUAGUUAAUGUUCUUUUAGAAAUAAAUAUAUAUCUUUUCAUUUAUUAUUAUUAUCUGCUGUACCGUACAUCUCUGGUUUGACCCCACAGUCAACUUUCACACUUAUUCAGUUCUCUGGAAUCCUCAACGCAUUGUGUAAAGUCCAUUUCUCUCUUAUUAGUAUGUCAUUCGCUUCUACAAUUUUAUUGACUUGUGUUGUUCAAUUAAUUGCAUUAUUUCAGCUUCUCUGUUGAUGGUAUUCCAAUUAGAGAGUUCAGAAACCUGGAGGCUAUAGGCGUUCCAUUACCAAAGAAUCAGCCAAUGAGAAUAUACUCAUCUCUUUGGAAUGCUGAUGACUGGGCUACAAGAGGUGGGCUAAUCAAGACGGAUUGGAGCCAAGCUCCUUUCACUGCUUCUUACAGAAAUUUCAAGGUUGAUGGUAGCCGUGCCUGGCUCUUGCAACAAAUGGAUUCCACAAACCAACGGAGGCUUUACUGGGUGCGGAAGAAUCACAUGAUUUACAAUUACUGCACUGACACCAAGCGAUUUCCCCAGGGCUUUCCCAAAGAAUGCGCUGUCCAUUAAAGCUGGCUGUUCCAAAAACUUUAGCGCCUAGGUACAGGAGCUGUCUUGUAUAACAUAACAUUAAAUGAUAAAAUGUAAGCUAAUUAGUAGUGAGGGAUGCCUUUAGCACUAUCCGAAUUAGGUAGUCGGCUGGUUUUGUAUUUUGAAUAGCUAUUUAUUAACAUAAUAAUAAUAUUUAUUUUAAGAUUCUAAUUUUUUAAAGUUGCGUAUAUAUUGAAGGAAAAUUUAAUUUUUAGGAAUCUCCCUAUUAUUAUUCUCAUUCAUAAUUAUCUCUAUAUUUAAUAAUCUUUACUUUAAAAAUAAUUUUUUUUAUAAAAAUGUGAUAUUUAUGGUAUAAUAAUUAUUCUAAGCCUUUGAAACUUUAUUUGGUUAAUAAUUACAAGAAAAAAAUUCAACGUUUUCCCUUUCCCAAAAAUAACUACUCUAUUAAAAUUAUAAAUGUUAGAUUUUAAAACAUCUAGUAUUCUAUUCAUUCUAUUUCAAACUUCAAAACUAAUAGAUAUUGAAUCAAUGAUACUCACCCAAAAAAAAUUUCUCUCAUAUCUACUCGGAAUAUUAUUCUAAUCUUCCCUAUAAACUUCAUUGCCAGCAUCUAACAUUUGACUAUCAUAUUCAUCUCAACUAAUCAACCUUUUACGUGCUAUCGUUCUAAUUUUCUAUUUUAAUUUAUUAUUAUUAUUUUUUAAAUUUAUUAUAUUUUUUUAUUUGUUGCAUUAAUAUAUGACUUGAAUCAGUUAUGAAGUUUGUGAUUUGUAUAGCAUAAAUGUUGAUAAUUGACAAAUUUAACAAACAUGGUGAGCUUAGUUAAUGUUCUUUUAGAAAUAAAUAUAUAUCUUUUCAUUUAUUAUUAUUAUUAUUAUUUGAUCUUUUUGGUAAUUGUUGAAAUUCACCAAAAAUGUAAAAUCUGGGGACGUCGGACGUCCAUACUGUAUGUUCUAUUUACAUCCAAGUCCCUUUAUGUUAUUAUUAUUAUUAUUUGAUUGAGAAAACCAAAGGUUGCAAUUAUUAGGUGUAUUAACCGUUCACGCCCCCAAUCAAGAAGAUGCUCAAUCCCAAAAUGCCAUAAAGCUUGGAUCCUAAAUUUGUGAACAUGCAUGAAUACUACAUGAAAGAAUCAAAGAUGAAUAUAAGAAUUAAAUAACUGGAUACAAUUGUGAUUGUAUUUGUUCUUGAUUUAUCUUUUUAUUGUCAUGUUACUGUUGGGUGUACUAUUUUAACAGGACAUUAAAAAAAAAAUCUCGGAGUGGGUGUCGGUGAAUUUUAAUCGUUUGCUUGCAAGAUGUUUGAUAAAAGUCCCAAAUGAGAGAAGUCGUUUUAAUGGCAAUAGAAUAUUUUGCUAGUCCUUACCCGUUAAGUCAGUCAAAAAUUUAGAGUACCAUUGCAUAUGUGAAGAGGUUUGGUCGUUUCUACGUUAAAACCUAGCCAAAGAAGAACAUAUAGCAAGCAUGCGAAGAGUAGAGAACAUAAUCUCAUGAUAUUUAUAUGCUAAAUUUUGUAUUACAUUGAGAAAGUUGGACUAAUUUGCCAUUUUAUUGACGACAAAAUACAACAAAGAAUCAAAGAAUUGACAAAAAGAAUAAAUUUUUUUGAUGUAUGUGUUGAUUUUGCAAAACUUCUAAGAGGUUCUGCAUUCUGCAGGGAGUCCCUGGGGAAAUCUCUUUGCAUCAGCGCAAUAAUUGUAAAUCAUGUAAUUCUUCUGCACCCAUUUCAGCCUUUCUUGACUUGUUGAAUCAAGCUCUUGUGAGAACCAGGCACUGCUGCUGGAUGGAGAGGAAGGUGAACUUGAAGCGCAAGAAGAUUUUCCAUUAGACCAGACACAGGCAUCAGCGUUGAAGUUUCUGUAGGAAGCCGUGAAGGGAGCAUGCGUCCAAUCUGUCUUGACAAGGCCACCUCUUGUAGCCCAGUCAUCAGCAUUCCAGAGAGAUGAGUAUAUUCUCAUUGGCUGAUUCUUUGGGAAUGCAACUCCAAUUGACUCUGAGUUCUUGAACUCUCUUAUGGGAGUACCAUCCACAGAGAAGCUGAAAAUUAAGUAAACAUUGAUAAGUCUAAGCAGAUUGAAUGACAAGGAAAGAAGAAAUGAUGGAGAUUGAAGGAAAAUAUUGCUUACACAAUGCGCUGAGGAUUCCAGAGGAUAGAAUAGGUGUGAAAGUCAGCAGUGGGGUCAAACCAGAGGUGAAAUUGUUGUUCUUUGUCACCUUUGCCAUUUGUGAAUACAUUGGUAUGCAGAGUGUAAGGGUCACCACUUAAAUUCCCCAAGAACUCGAAGUCUAUCUCAUCCCAUGUUGAUCCUGGCGAUUUUAACUGCGUGAACAAAAAGUCAAAGGUCUAUAUGUCAGAUACAUGAUGAUCAAACAUGCAUAUUGUUUAUUCAUAUAAAGGCAGGAACUUACAUAAUAAGCAGUGACAGUGCCGGCAGAGUUGCCAGGGACUAGUUUGAGUUGCAUAUCAAUCUUGCCGAAUAGAUACUCAUUCUUGGACUGGAAGCCGGAGCCAGAGGCU